Long non-coding RNA from Fundulus heteroclitus (mummichog), 709 nucleotides. RefSeq lists it as uncharacterized. The transcript is spliced from 3 exons. The record is from RefSeq and is a predicted model, not a curated record. Lineage: Eukaryota; Metazoa; Chordata; Actinopteri; Cyprinodontiformes; Fundulidae.
AAUAAACACUAAUAAAAAAAAAUAAUAAUAAUAAUAAACAUUAAUGGACAGAAAAAAAGUAGCUCUAUAUAUAUUGAGUGUUUUUACUCACUUUUUGUCUCUCUCUAACGACGUUAUUUCUCACACAGCGUCAAUAAUAUGCACAUCACAUCAUGUGGCAGAUUAUGCAAAUUAGGUGAUGACGUCAUUCAGCGACUUCUAGCGACUUUUAGACCUGCCAAUAGCUACUUUCCUUACUGAGGAGUUGGCAACACUGCAAUCAAGGCAAGAUACUUUCCCUAGUUUCUACGCUUCCGUUGAAGUCUAUACCACGACGAAAACAUGACUUCCCGACAGCAGGGGGCGCACCCGAAAGAAACUGAAAUGCGCCGGUUUGGCUGAGGAAGAAAGACGUGACACCAUAGCUCAGUGCAGCUAACAGCAUCAGCACCCCACAGCAUCCACUGAUGAGGUGAAGGUCAUCAAAGUUCUGGGCUGGAUGGAAGGCUACCAGAUCAUCAACCUGCUUUGAGACACGCCGACUUCCAUCACAAGACUACCAAGACUUGAACAAUUCAAAAUUUUAUGUAAUCUUUAAACAUACGGCAGAUGAUUUGAGCUUGUUUAAAAAUAACUUAAUAUGUAACCGUUUUAGUUCCCAGUAUUAACUACUUUGAUCACUAACUGUUGCAGCAUGUCCUUCAUAGCUCUUAGUGGAGCCGUUUAGGCU